This 36-nucleotide non-coding RNA is filed under the name unclassified sequences. Its description in RNAcentral is "DUF805b RNA". It matches the Rfam family "DUF805b RNA". From Rfam's summary of the family: Bacteroidetes, Chlorobi (1 example), Proteobacteria. Lineage (Flavobacteria) The record is from RNAcentral.
AAGGAGGAAUCCGAAAAUCCGAUAAAAGAGUAGGGA